Molecule: ribosomal RNA, 497 nt
Filed under: uncultured bacterium
Lineage: Bacteria
Description: partial 16S ribosomal RNA
Rfam family: Bacterial small subunit ribosomal RNA
Source: RNAcentral
GAUGAACGCUGGCGGCGUGCCUAAUACAUGCAAGUCGAGCGAACAGAUGAGGAGCUUGCUCCUCUGACGUUAGCGGCGGACGGGUGAGUAACACGUGGAUAACCUACCUAUAAGACUGGGAUAACUUCGGGAAACCGGAGCUAAUACCGGAUAAUAUAUUGAACCGCAUGGUUCAAUAGUGAAAGACGGUUUUGCUGUCACUUAUAGAUGGAUCCGCGCCGCAUUAGCUAGUUGGUAAGGUAACGGCUUACCAAGGCAACGAUGCGUAGCCGACCUGAGAGGGUGAUCGGCCACGCGGGAACUGAGACACGGUCCAGACUCCUACGGGAGGCAGCAGUAGGGAAUCUUCCGCAAUGGGCGAAAGCCUGACGGAGCAACGCCGCGUGAGUGAUGAAGGUCUUCUGAUCGUAAAACUCUGUUAUUAGGGAAGAACAAAUGUGUAAGUAACUAUGCACGUCUUGACGGUACCUAAUCAGAAAGCCACGGCUAACUACGUG